RNAcentral lists this ribosomal RNA (1231 nucleotides) under Ctenopharyngodon idella (grass carp). Its description in RNAcentral is "partial 16S ribosomal RNA". It matches the Rfam family "Bacterial large subunit ribosomal RNA", at positions 743 to 2613 of the family's 2925-position model. Lineage: Eukaryota; Metazoa; Chordata; Actinopteri; Cypriniformes; Xenocyprididae. The record is from RNAcentral. RNAcentral also lists the same sequence under 2 other names.
GCCUAUUUAAAUUUAGGGCUAACCCGUCUCUGUGGCAAAAGAGUGGGAAGAGCUCCGGGUAGAAGUGACAGACCUACCGAACCUGGUGAUAGCUGGUUGCCUGAGAAAUGGAUAGAAGUUCAGCCUCGCACACCCCAAAUCAAAAACAUAACAUCAAGACAAUGAGGGAAAUAUACGAGAGUUAGUUAAAGGGGGUACAGCCCCUCUAACAAAGGAUACAACCUUUACAGGAGGAUAAAGAUCAUAAUAUAUAAAACAUACUGUUUUAGUGGGCCUAAAAGCAGCCAUCUAAAUAGAAAGCGUUAAAGCUCAGACAGAAAAAAGUUUAUUAUACUGAUAAAAAAAUCUUAUUCCCCUAACAAUAUCAGGCUAACCCAUGCCCACAUGGAAGAAAUUAUGCUAAAAUGAGUAACAAGAAGACCUGCUCUUCUCCAAGCACAAGUGUAAACCAGAUCGGACAAACCACUGGAAAUUAACGAACCCAACCCAAGAGAGUAAUGUGAAUAACAAAAAAACCAAGAAAACCCCACAAUUAAACAAUCGUUAACCCCACACUGGAGUGCUAUUUUUUAAAGGAAAGACUAAAAGAAAGGGAAGGAACUCGGCAAACACAAGCCUCGCCUGUUUACCAAAAACAUCGCCUCCUGCAAUCAAACUCAGUAUAGGAGGUCCAGCCUGCCCAGUGACUACGGGUUCAACGGCCGCGGUAUUUUGACCGUGCAAAGGUAGCGCAAUCACUUGUCUUUUAAAUAGAGACCUGUAUGAAUGGCUAAACGAGGGCUUAACUGUCUCCCCCUUCAAGUCAGUGAAAUUGAUCUAUCCGUGCAGAAGCGGGUAUAACCAUACAAGACGAGAAGACCCUUUGGAGCUUAAGGUACAAAAUUCAAUCACGUUAAGCAACUCAAUAAAAAGCAAGAACUUAGUGAAAAAUGAAAUUUUACCUUCGGUUGGGGCGACCACGGAGGAAAAACAAGCCUCCGAGUGGAAUGGGCCAAAUCCCUAAAACUAAGAGAAACAUCUCUAAGCCACAGAACAUCUGACCAAAAAUGAUCCGGCUAAUAAGUCGAUCAACGAACCAAGUUACCCUAGGGAUAACAGCGCAAUCCUCUCCCAGAGUCCAUAUCGACGAGGGGGUUUACGACCUCGAUGUUGGAUCAGGACAUCCUAAUGGUGCAGCCGCUAUUAAGGGUUCGUUUGUUCAACGAUUAAAGUCCUACGUGAUCUGAGUUCA